This 253-nucleotide ribosomal RNA is filed under the name uncultured bacterium. RNAcentral's name for it is "partial 16S ribosomal RNA". It matches the Rfam family "Bacterial small subunit ribosomal RNA", at positions 524 to 776 of the family's 1533-position model. The record is from RNAcentral.
UACGAAGGGGGCUAGCGUUGCUCGGAAUCACUAGGCGUAAAGGGUGCGUAGGCGGGCCUUUAAGUCAGGGGUGAAAUCCUGGAGCUCAACUCCAGAACUGCCUUUGAUACUGAGGAUCUUGAGUUCGGGAGAGGUGAGUGGAACUGCGAGUGUAGAGGUGAAAUUCGUAGAUAUUCGCAAGAACACCAGUGGCGAAGGCGGCUCACUGGCCCGAUACUGACGCUGAGGCACGAAAGCGUAGGGAGCAAACAGG